GGCUUGUUGAUUUUAAAACAUAACAAGUCUUACCUGCCCACUGAAGAUUUUAAAGGCUGCAGUAUCCUGACUGUACGAAGGUAGCAUAAUAAUUUGUCUUAUAAUUGAAGAAUGGAAUGAAUGGUUUGACAUGGGUGAAACUGUCUCUUAUAUAUUUACUUGAAGUUAAUCUUCAGGUUAAAAAGCUUGAAUAAAAUUAAAGGACGAGAAGACCCUAUUGAGCUUUAAUGAAUAAUUUAAUAAUAAAAGAUAGUUAGAUUAUUAUAAAUUUAUAAAUUUUAGUUGGGGCGACUAAGGAACAAAUAAAGCUUCCUUUUUUAAUUAAAAAAGCUGUUUAUAGAUCCAGUAUUUUUGAACAAAGACCAAGCUACCAUAGGGAUAACAGCGUUAUCUUUUUAGAGAGUUCUUAUCGAAAGAGGGGGUUGCGACCUCGAUGUUGGAUUAAAAUAUAAUAAAGGUUGUAGAAGCUUUUAUGAUUAGUCUGUUCGACUAUUAAAAUUUU
RNAcentral lists this ribosomal RNA (502 nucleotides) under Palaina macgillivrayi. RNAcentral's name for it is "partial large subunit ribosomal RNA". It matches the Rfam family "Bacterial large subunit ribosomal RNA", at positions 1819 to 2597 of the family's 2925-position model. Lineage: Eukaryota; Metazoa; Mollusca; Gastropoda; Architaenioglossa; Diplommatinidae. The record is from RNAcentral.